Molecule: ribosomal RNA, 795 nt
Filed under: uncultured fungus
Lineage: Eukaryota; Fungi
Description: eukaryotic LSU rRNA
Rfam family: 5.8S ribosomal RNA (bases 256-409)
Source: RNAcentral
AGUAAAAGUCGUAACAAGGUUUCCGUAGGUGAACCUGCGGAAGGAUCAUUACUGGAAAUAUUUCAAGGUUGUUAGCUGGCCUUCCGGGGCAUGUGCUCACCUUGUUUUCAAUCCAAUUCACACCUGUGCACACUUUGUAGUGUCUUGAGGGGGGUUGUCUUUUGGGAUGGAACCUCUCUAGCUCUACGUAUUUUUCACACAUACACUUAUAAAGUUUAGAAUGUUAAUACUUGUGAUAUAAUACACAUCUAUAACAACUUUCAACAACGGAUCUCUUGGCUCUCGCAUCGAUGAAGAACGCAGCGAAAUGCGAUAAGUAAUGUGAAUUGCAGAAUUCAGUGAAUCAUCGAAUCUUUGAACGCACCUUGCGCUCCUUGGUAUUCCGAGGAGCAUGCCUGUUUGAGUGUCAUGAAUCUCUCAAACUAUACAUGGUUUUUGUUAAUCAUUGUAUUAGUUUGGACUUGGAGGUCUGCUGGCGCAAGUCAGCUCCUCUUAAAUGUAUUAGCUUGGAUUCUUGUAUGUGGAUCCUUGGUGUGAUAAUUAUCUACGCCAUGAUGUCCCUUCAAAUUAUAAUCCUGCUUCUAAUCGUCUGUCAAAAGACAAAUGUGUUCAUCACUUGACAUCUGACCUCAAAUCAGGUAGGACUACCCGCUGAACUUAAGCAUAUCAAUAAGCGGAGGAAAAGAAACUAACAAGGAUUCCCCUAGUAACUGCGAGUGAAGCGGGAAAAGCUCAAAUUUAAAAUCUGGCGUCUUCCGGCGUCCGAGUUGUAUUCUGGAGAAGCGUUUUCCGCGC